UGCAAGUCGAACGAACCUAAUCUUCGGAAAAGGUUAGUGGCGCACGGGUGAGUAACACGUAGGUGACCUGCCCUGGAGUGGGGGAUAACUUCUCGAAAGAGAAGCUAAUACCGCAUAUGCUCGGUCAUUCGGUUGAUCGAGUAAAGCUCCGGCGCUCCAGGAGGGGCCUGCGUCCGAUUAGCUAGUUGGUGGGGUAAUGGCCUACCAAGGCGAUGAUCGGUAGCUGGUCUGAGAGGACGAUCAGCCACACUGGCACUGACACACGGGCCAGACUCCUACGGGAGGCAGCAGUGAGGAAUAUUGGUCAAUGGGCGAAAGCCUGAACCAGCAACGCCGCGUGAGGGAUGAAGGCCUUCGGGUCGUAAACCUCUUUUCUGGGAGAAGAGACAAGGACGGUAUCCCAGGAAUAAGUCUCGGCUAACUACGUGCCAGCAGCCGCGGUAAAACGUAGGAGGCAAGCGUUAUCCGGAUUUACUGGGCGUAAAGCGCACGCAGGCGGCUGCGUAAGUCGGACGUGAAAGCUCCUGGCUCAACUGGGAGAGGUCGUUCGAAACUGCGCGGCUUGAGGUUGGAAGAGGAGAGCGGAAUUCCCGGUGUAGUGGUGGAAUGCGUAGAUAUCGGGGGGAACACCAGUGGCGAAAGCGGCUCUCUGGUCCACACCUGACGCUCAGGUGCGAAAGCGUGGGUAGCGAACGGGAUUAGAUACCCCGGUAGUCCACGCUGUAAACGAUGCGAACUAGGUGUUGGUAGUAUUAAACCUAUCAGUGCCGAAGCUAACGCGAUAAGUUCGCCGCCUGGGGACUACGGCCGCAAGGCU
RNAcentral lists this ribosomal RNA (817 nucleotides) under uncultured Chloroflexota bacterium. RNAcentral's name for it is "bacterial SSU rRNA". It matches the Rfam family "Bacterial small subunit ribosomal RNA", at positions 56 to 895 of the family's 1533-position model. The record is from RNAcentral. Lineage: Bacteria; Bacillati; Chloroflexota.